CUCUGCGACUCCCGUCGUGACACUGCUGCGCCCAUCGCCCCAGAACACCGCCAUCCCCAGCCUACAUCCCGUGCUCCUCGACUACUUGCCGUGGUGCUUUUCACUAUUAGUUUCCUUUUCUCCUUCUCCCAGGCCCUCUUUGCCUUGGGAAGCUGCGCAUCCCUGUGAGGAGAGUUUGUUUUUUUCCCCAACGGCGCCAGGACUCAUCUGAACGGCUGUGAAACCGGAGGUCACUGCCAAAUAUAAAGCACAGCAGCGCAAGAUGGGCUCAAAAUGAGCUGCUCCAGUACUUUAAUACGUACCAACAAUUGGCUAUGUUAUGGAAUCUGCGAUGUGGCCUUCACUGUUGACCUCUGCAACACAAUUCCCAGUCUGACUACGGAAACUGUUUGGUUUGAUCCUUUCAACUUAUUUGAAUCCUGACAAAUAAGCUCACAGCUGAAAGGUCAACACAGUCAUAUUUCAUCCUCUGGAGCUAUUCUUAAGACAUCUGCACAACAAAGCACUUCUUUUAGUACCUGACACUGGACCUAGCCAGCACAAUCUCUCAUUAAAAAUGUCCCCAGUGGAAGAGUCUAUUAAAAGGCAUAUGGAUCAGCUAUGGAUUUACCAAAUAAAAUAUUUUU
Molecule: long non-coding RNA, 626 nt
Organism: Colius striatus (speckled mousebird)
Lineage: Eukaryota; Metazoa; Chordata; Aves; Coliiformes; Coliidae
Exons: 3
Source: RefSeq, a predicted model, not a curated record